UACGUAGGUGGCAAGCGUUGUCCGGAUUUAUUGGGCGUAAAGAGCUCGUAGGCGGCUUGUCGCGUCGGCUGUGAAAACCCGCGGCUCAACUGUGGGCGGGCAGCUGAUACGGGCAGGCUGGAGUUCGGUAGGGGAGACUGGAAUUCCUGGUGUAGCGGUGAAAUGCGCAGAUAUCAGGAGGAACACCGGUGGCGAAGGCGGAUCUCUGGGCCUUGCCUGACGCUGAGGAGCGAAAGCCAGGGGAGCAAACGGG
This 253-nucleotide ribosomal RNA is filed under the name uncultured bacterium. RNAcentral describes it as "partial 16S ribosomal RNA". It matches the Rfam family "Bacterial small subunit ribosomal RNA", at positions 524 to 776 of the family's 1533-position model. The record is from RNAcentral.